RNAcentral lists this transfer RNA (83 nucleotides) under Ixodes scapularis (black-legged tick). It matches the Rfam family "tRNA". From Rfam's summary of the family: Transfer RNA (tRNA) molecules are approximately 80 nucleotides in length. The record is from Rfam by way of RNAcentral. Lineage: Eukaryota; Metazoa; Arthropoda; Arachnida; Ixodida; Ixodidae.
GCGGUCGUGGCCAAGUGGCUAAGACGAUGGACUAGAAAUCCAUUGGGGUUUACCCCUCACAGAUUCGAAUCCUGUCGACUGCG